RNAcentral lists this unclassified non-coding RNA (378 nucleotides) under uncultured Gammaproteobacteria bacterium. RNAcentral's name for it is "contains 16S-23S intergenic spacer region". Lineage: Bacteria; Pseudomonadati; Pseudomonadota; Gammaproteobacteria. The record is from RNAcentral.
UCCGGCUUAUCACCGGCGGUUUCUUUAGAGUGCCCAACUAAAUGAUGGCAACUAAAGACGAGGGUUGCGCUCGUUGCGGGACUUAACCCAACAUCUCACGACACGAGCUGACGACAGCCAUGCAGCACCUGUGUAGGCUGGUAUUGCUACCUCGUCGCGCUUUCACGCUUCUACUACCUACAUGUCAAGGCCAGGUAAGGUUUUUCGCGUUGCAUCGAAUUAAUCCACAUAAUCCACCGCUUGUGCGGGUCCCCGUCAAUUCCUUUGAGUUUUAACCUUGCGGCCGUACUCCCCAGGCGGUCAACUUCACGCGUUAGCUUCGUUACCAAGGAAUUGCUUCCCCGACAACCAGUUGACAUAGUUUAGGGCUAGGACUAC